RNAcentral lists this transfer RNA (74 nucleotides) under Candidatus Omnitrophota bacterium. Its description in RNAcentral is "tRNA-Val". It matches the Rfam family "tRNA". Rfam says of the family: Transfer RNA (tRNA) molecules are approximately 80 nucleotides in length. Lineage: Bacteria; Pseudomonadati; Candidatus Omnitrophota. The record is from RNAcentral.
GGGCGCUUAGCUCAGCUGGUUAGAGCGUCUGAUUUACAUUCAGAAGGUCACAGGUUCAAGUCCUGUAGCGCCCA